GGCCUAAAAUGAGACUUAAAAAAAGUGCGACGAUUUGGAUCUAAAAUAAUAGUCUAAAAAGGGUCUUUAAGAAAAAAUAGGAGUCGCCACUUGGUAUUGAGUUAAAGUGUACCAAAUCACCCAAAAAUGUGUUUUUUAAUAAAAAAAAAAUAAACAAAACCCUUUUUAGACAAAUCCAGGUCUUCAAAAAACAAGAUAAAAGAGUUCAGGAGUCACGGUUGAAGAAAGGGAAGGCAAAGAUUUGAUCUAAGGCACCCUUUCAACCUAGCCAAAGUUAGUUGCGUGAUUGAGUCGAAAAUUUUCUUAAUAUAACCUAUAAAACUUAUCAUAUUUGGAUAUUUCUACAUGGAUGCAAAUCUAGACCUAAUAGAUAUUGAGAGGGUCGAAAUAUCUUUUCAAAGUUUAAUUGCUGCAAAUCAUAUUAAUUGUGAUGUCCAAAAUGAUCCUUAAAAGAGGUCACGAAUAUGCAAAGAUGAGACUCGAAGGAAAGAAGAAUUAAAAUAAAUAUACGUGACCUAAAGAAGAGGAAUGCAACGUAACGGGUACGGGGACUAAGAUUCGUAAUUUCGAUUUUCCUUUUUAUAGAAGAGAUACGAGCGUGCUAAGGUUAAGAAGCCAUACUCGUCCAUUUCUCAUAUUUGAAAGGUGACUCUUCUAAUGUAGUCAAGCAAAUGAACUAACUUAUUUCUAAUUUUCUAAAUAGAAUGCAAGUCUAAAUGUCAUAUUUUGCACACAUAGGGGUAAAGGGGGAUAAUAUAUAAAGAAAAUAUCAUGCAAGAUGUGAAAAGAUCCUAAAAAUGAAAAACGUGCAUGAAAUAUGAUGAAUGUCACGCAAAGAAUGUGAAUCUAGCGCGAAAACAGUCUAAAUGGUCUAGCAUUGAACUAGCCCACCUCUACAAGUCUUCACUAGCAUUAGACUAGUGUGGUGACGCCAUACAUUUAUUAUAACUAAAUAAAUCAUAUAAAGUAUAAUUAAAACAAGUAAACACAUAAAACACAUAGAUCACAUAACACAUAAGCAUAAUUUAUAGAUGCAAAACCCUAAUAAAAGCAAGUAAAUACAUAAGCACAUAAGCAUGCAAGCACCCAAGCAAAUAAAUGAAAAUAAGAGCCUAACUAUUACAUUCGGGGUCCUAACUACAAUCUAAAGGAAGGAAUUCUAAAAAAAAAUAAUAACCUAACUAUUACAUUUAUCUAACUAAAUACGCUUUUAGCAAAAAUUAAAACCUAUCUAUUACAUAGGCUAGCUAAAUACAUGUCUUGAACACAUAUCUAUUACAACUUGACAUUUUAAUGCCUCUCAAAUAAUCAUCAAAAUUAAACAAAAUAAAUGAAACUUAAAAUGAAUAAGAACGACUAAUUAAAGAUAAAAGCACUCAAAACAUGCAAUUACACAUAAAAACACAUUGGAGCACAUAAAAGAGUUUAAAAUAAUAAAAGAGGUUAUCUUCCUUGAAGUGGUGAUUAAAUAGGCUGAAAUUUAUCCUACUUAUGCUCCAAAAUGAACAAAAUGAUCAAGACACCAAUUUAAUUAUAAAGAAAUGGAAAUAAUCAUGAAAUCUAUCAAUUAAAUCACUUAAAUGAAGCAUAAUUAACAAUUAAAGCAGAAAAGUGACCUAUAUUUAAGAAAUCUAAACUGCUAGGGACCUAUUUGCAAAAAAUUGAGAAAGUUUUUAGGGUACAAUUACAAUUAUUACAAAAUUUAGGGGUCAAAAUGAAAUAAAAAUAAAAUUUAGGGACCUAUUUAUAAUUAAAUUAGGAACCUGAUUGAAAGAACUCAUAGUAAAAAUAUUCAAAAGUACAGGGACUGAAAUGCAAUUUUUGUUUUCUGAUUUCUUGAGAAAAUAGGCUUUGGGGCCAUCUUAUUAUUUCUUUGGGCUAGAACUCCCAUUGGCCCAACCAAAGUCCAAAGCAAAAGAACGGGCCAGUCCAACAUUUUUGACCCAAAUAAAUCCAACAAAAUGGAUGGAUUUUAACCCUCCAAACCCAUAUCAAACCCAAUCAAAUUAAAUCAAAACCCACUUCCAAAACCCAAUCAAACAAAACCAAGUUCAAACCCUAAACUAUUUUACCAAAAUCCAACAAGAUGAUAAAUCAACUAAAAAAUCAUUAACCCUAAUUAUUCCCUAAAUCCCAGAAAUAAUUUGCUUUAAAGAUAUAUUAUAACACCCAUAAGAUGAUUAAAAUUUAAAAGGACUCGAAAUGGUUCAUUGGCAGAAUUUUUGUGCCAUGGUGGAAUUAUUUAAAAAAUAAGGGGUCUAAGUGAAAUUUCAGAAACUUUGAUGCAUCUCCUUCGAAGCUUUCCUCUGCGGUUUCUAGGUUUGCUAUGGAAUUUCAUUUAAUCAGCCAACAUUCACACGCAUAUUGCAUCAUGAAAAGGAAGGCAAUCAAAACCUUACUCUAUGGAACAAAUCAAACCAGAAUCCUUUCCAAAAACUCCUAGCAGCAUCAUCCAAAAACAUCAACAAGGCUCCACAAAGAGUUGAAGAAAGCAGCUUCUUGGGCAAACAAAUGAAUAGGAAGAAAGGAAAUGGGGGCAACAAAGACAACAAACAUGCACAACUAACGGAAACUUAAAUCUUGUCAAAUUUCUCAUGCAUUCUUCUUCCCUUUUGAUAACAGAAACAAAUAAUAAUAAUAAUAAUAAUAAAAAAAAAAAAACAAGAUUCAACGCUCAAAGCUUCCCCCUAGAUUCAUAAAAAGAAAAACAAACAACUUUCAUCUAUAGGCUUCGAAUAAAGUCCAGAAUAUGGCUCUGAUGGUGAACUUACAAAGAUAAAGAAGCCUGACGAAUCGAUGGAAGCUGCGUGGAUUUUUGGAGUGAAGUCAGGAGCCCUAUUUGCUGCAGAAAUUUCAACAGUGACGAGAAAUUUCAACAGUGGCAUCGUACUGAGGGGCUUAACGGGAAAGAAAAAUGCGAGAAAAUGGGUGGAAAUGGGAUCCAAAUUGCCGUUGCAAAAUCUUGUACUGUUUCUGCUUCUUCUUCUUCGUACGAAGAAGAAGAAACCAGCGCGCGUGCGUGGACUCCAUUUUUUUAUUAUUUUUUUCUUCUUUUUUUUGUUUUACUUUGUCUUUCUUUUCUUCUUCCUCUUCUUUUUUUUCGAUUUUUCUAAAAAUGAUGAUUUUUAUCAAGAAAAUAAAAAUAAAAAAAUAAAAAUAAAAUUUAACGAAAAAUAAAUAAACAAAAUGGUAAAAUUUUGGUGUCGACGGUGUGUUUUUUGGGAGUUUGCCUGAAAUUCUACUAUAGCCUACUGUAGACUUUUUAUAAAACCUUUUAGGUAUUUGAGUGUUUGGAAAAUUUUAUGGAGUGUGUAUUUUUAAAAUUUUUGGGGUUUCCAUAGACAAAGUUGUUAAAAAUUUGUCUAUUAAAACACCCAUAAAAAUAAGAUGCCAAACAAAGCCUGCAAUUUAACAGAUACAAUAAAAUCUGAAAAAUUAUGAAUAAAUAUGAAAAAUACAAAGAAAUUUCAGGAUUGUUUUCUAAUAAGAUAAUUCUCUGCAACUCCUUUCUGUACAUGUUGCAAUUGCCAAAUCUAUUAAUUAAUUACUUUAAUCUCCAAUAAUUAUUAUGAAAUCUAUUGAAAUAGACCUAAGAUUUUAAAAAAAAUAAAGAUUGAUAUCCAUAUCUGAAAUUAAUUCAGAUAUACCAACAAAAUAAGAAAAAGAAACUGAACAAAAAUUUCACUAGUGAUGACAGAAAAUUUUCACUAGAAAUCCAAAGGAGAAAUAGAAAUUUCUCAAUAGGAAACCUAAGAGAAACGGAGAUCUCUCACUAAAAAAAUUUGAGAAGAGACUUUAUUAGAAAACCAAAGUAAAAAUUGUAUACAUGGAUUUGGAAGGCCUUUUGAGAAGAAGAGAAGAAGUAGAGAGACGCUGGAGAAGAGCAAAGGUAGUGAGAGUACAAGUACCCUAAUAAAAUCAAAUGGGUUUGGAAAACUUUUAACUUGGCAAGCCUUAUUUCUAGAACCGCUCCAUUGAGCAAAUGCAUCCUUUGAUUUUUCUAAAUAUUUAUUUCUUAACAAAUGCAUUUAGUAAAUGCGUGUUGGAAAGAUUGUAUUAAUUGAAUGCAUUUUCUUAACAACUUUUACUAUUUGGAAAAUCUUUUAGGAAAACGCCAUCAUCUCGGAAUUUCCUCCUCAUUCACGUGGUCUUUACUCAGGACAAUUAUCCCUCACCCCUGCCUCCCCCUCCCCCCCCUCCUCCCUCCCCCCCCCCCCCCCCCCCCAAAAAAACCCCCCCAAACUUCCCAUUCCUCCUCCCUCCCCGCUCCUGAAGCUUGAUAAUAGAAUUUUGUUUAGGCUUCCAAGUUUUAAAAAGCUCUCAAUUUUGCACUAUAUUUGCACCUAAAUUUUGUAAACGUACUCCAGGAGAAGUGAGCUAUAGGAACUCCAUUUUUUUAUACAAGUUGUCCCGAAAGGCCGAAACACAUAAAGGUUCUUAUGGGAAUAUAUUUAUAUUGGAGAACAAAUAUAUAUCUAAAGAUACAUAGGACACAGAAAGCAAAAUAUAGGUAUGAUUUUUUUCCUUUUUAGUUUUUUGAGCACGUAGGUUAUGUUCAACAAUCAAUAUUGAAACAGGCUUCCAUCUACUACUUUUUGCAUGUUCUUUUUUCUUCUCCAGCUCCUUUUUUGCUGAAGAACAAGGAAAAAAUAGAACCAACCAUAAUUUUCGCAUUAUGUUUUACUGAAGAAUAGACACAAAUUCGAAAUCAAACAUGAUCCCGCUUCAUUCAGCAAUUUAUUUAAAUUUGGGGAUUGAUAACCCAUUUUUUAUUUAUCAUUUUUGCCUCUGGCAUGAAGAGCCAGGACUACAUUUCAUCUGCCAAUAGAUAACGACAGGAACUGAUUAGAUAGCAGCAUAGGACUGCACCCUGAAUUUCUCACUGUAAUGUGGGUGUGGGUGAUGAUGACGGUAGGGCCAAAGCAUGAUCCCUCCAAAGUUGACAUAGGUCUCCACAAAGGGAAGAACCACGCUAACUAGCACCUCAUAUGGGAUGUAACCGCCGUCAGGUGCGACCUCUGGGGAUACAGGAAUUCCCAGGAAUAGUGCAUUAACGCCUGGAUACGAAGCCCACUCGUUCCAACUCUGGAAGAGGGCAAUGAGAUUGUCUGGGGUAUACUGACAAGUUGGAUUGUCGAAAAAUUCCACCCACACGUAAUCAAAAAGGCCAGUUCUGAUAGAAGCGUCAAGCCAACGGUCAGGCAGAAGACACUCGGGUCCAGCAGCUAAGUACACCUGCUUAUUUUCUGGUGUGUUGUAUCCCGACAGUGCCCGAGCAAGAUCAUCCAAGUAAUCUGGCUUUCCAGAGUGGAUAUGAUAGUCUACACCAUUUAAAACAGCUUCGCCUAAUGGACGAGAGCUUGAACUGCCACCUAAGAAAUUGUCCCAGAUAUAGGAUGCCACUUCGUAAGCUUCAGCGGUGGAAGAAAGGUUCGGAGCUCCAGCAAGAGAAAUUAACACUUGGAUGCCUAGGCUCUGGCAAAGUUCUAUCUCCGAACUUAGUAAGGGGCAAGUGGUCGAAUUACAAUGCCUUAAACUCAAUUCAGGUGUUCGGCCACCACCAAUAUUUCUCAGAAAGGCAAUAUUCACGUACUGAACAGGAGCUUUCACGUAGCGAACAGUACCUUCAGUGCAUAACUCCUUCAGGCUUCCUUCGGUAGCGUCUUGGCCCCAAUAGGUGGAAAUUCGAACAGCUUCGGAGGACCCGAUCAGAGAUGCCAUCAACAGGAACGUUAUUGCUAAGAAGAGCGGUUGCAAGGAGAGAGCCAUUUUUUGUCUUUUCAGUGAUUUCUUGUGGUUUUGCUUUGAUGAGUUUAGUCGCACAGUGAUGGACCAUUUUAUAGAUGAGUUUAUGUCAAGUGGAUGCUCAGCAUCCAGAAAAUCCAAACAUCCGUACAUGAAAACGUGAAUAGUACGAUUUCUGUGAAAAAAAACGUGAAUGGCAUGGCAUCACUGUCGUGUUUAAUUUUGCUGGGGAAUGCUAUUAUUGUACCUGUUGUUUCGGUAGAACAAAAAUACAAAAAGUCGAAUACAAAAAUUACCAGUAGUUAUAACAAUAAUUAUAACAAUUAUAAAAUUAAAUAUAAUAAAAUAGUUAAAAUAAUAAUAUAAUAAUAUACAAAUGUGGAGAGUUGAGGUAUUGCCAUAAAUCAAUUAAUACUACUUCCAUAUACGAUCAAGAAUUUAUUAGGAUCUCAAGGUUCAUUUAUAAUUAAGUACACGGAUUAGGUCUACCUUACAUGUAAGUUCUUGGACUACUACCCAUUUUCAAUUAAUUUUGAGAUGGAAACUCAUAUUAUUUAUUGAUAAGCAUUAUCCAUUUUAGAUUCUUAGAUCAACAUAUUAAAAGAUAGUAUUCUUUUAAGAAUAGUUUGACAUUCAAUUUAUAUGAAAUAUUUGAACGGUGAAAACGGAGUCAAAAUUGUAAUUUUUAAAAUUGUAAUAAAAUUUGUAAUGAUGAAUAAGAGGGAAAAACUUAAUCAAUUUCACAUGAAUGUAAUCUUAUGUAUAACUUGCACAAAUGAUGAACAUAUUGUGAAAGGUGUUGACUUGCAAAAAAAUUUAAAUUAAUUUUAUUAGGAUAUAAUGAAGAGUAAGUUCUAUUCAAUACAAUAGAGAGCAGUCUGGUCCUACUUUUAAAGGCCUGAUAACGGUUAACAAUGUUGGGUUGAAUAUGUAAUUGGGUAAGAAAGUAACCGUCAUGCAUAACAUGGAAGUCGAAAAAUUGAUGUCUAGGUCUAAUUAAUACACCUUUGCAGAAGUCAAAAUUUUCUCCACAUCAUUAAAAAGAAUAAGGGUAAAUUAUAUAUAACCUCCCAAAAUAUGUGCAUAUUAAUAUAUAUGCUCCUCCCAAAGCUUUAGAACAUUCACAUCGCCACUGUGGUUUUAUAAAAAGUGAAAAAUAGAUGAAAAGUAUCAUCGGUUAUAGCGAUUGAAUAAUCAAUCGUGGCACUUAAUUGACCUGCGAUCGGUAUGAAUAGUCACUCGUCCCCUGUAGUUUUUGCAUUUAUCCAUAUAAUUCGCUUGUGAUUUUUUGCUUGGUGGUUAGGCUGUGGUUUGAUUUAGUACUUAAGUAAGAACAAUACUCACAUUUCAACUAACAAUAUUACAGAGGCUAUUUUUCGUCAAGUUUCUAGUUUGCAUGAAAAAAUAGUGGGUUGACGUAGAUAUUUUAAAUUGUUAGCUGGCCAUGUGAGAAGGUAUGAAACUAAAAGGGGUUAUGCAUAAUUUACCCUUGAAAAAAUUUAAGAGCACUUAAUAGGAGAGAAACUUUGCAACUCCAAGUUUAUAUAUCUAUUAAUCACAUGGGUUUUCUUGCAUGCUCAUCUACAAGUUAAAUCAUUUCAAUGGCCAGUUCGUUACAUCAUAUACCGUUAUGUGCAUCCACAUAAUCAAUCAUUGCUAACAUAUUUUACCCCAUAGCUUUAUAUCCACUGGGACAACUGAAGUGUCUUGCAUACCAUGAUAUCAAUGAUUUAACUCCAUACAAUUUAUCAAUUUUUUUUAGUACACAUAGUAAAUGAGGUUCUGAACCCAAACUCAUUAUAAGGGUACGAGCAUUCUUCCUACAACUAGAAAAAAGCACAUCAAGUCCUUGGGGAUGUUGCUUGGAGGAUUAACGUGUCUCGUCAUUAUCAGAAAUCGAUUGUUUAACUUAUUUUGCUUUUCUUUUCUUAUUUUCUCCCCUUAGAAAGGGCGGCCCAGCCGGCCCAGUCGCAUUAGGAUUAGAGUGGUUUGCAAUGAAAAACAAAAAGGAAAAAAGUUGAUCCAUUUGAAAAAGUCCUUCUGUAUAUAGCUCGAAUCCCAACCUAAAUUUUGGGUUAUAUUUUUGGCCCCGUCUGGAAUCUGAGUUUUUUGGAAGUUUAUCUAAAACUUUACUGUAGAUCACUGUAGAAGUUGUAAAAAAACUUGUAAGAUAAAAAACUUUUUUUCCUUUUCAUUUUCUUUCUUUUUUUUUCCUUUUUCUUUUUUCUUUUUUCUUUUUUUUUCUUUUUUUAUCUUUUCUUUCCUCCCUUCCCGCUUCUUCUCCCUUCCCCUUCCCCCUUCCCUCCCCUGUUCCUCUCUCGAAACUGCAUCAAGCAGUCUGCAGUAGAAAUAUAUAUAUAUUUUUUUGCAUUUUCUCUCCCCAUCUCCUACCCGCCACCCCUCUCCUCCCUUUCCCCCUCUCCUCCCCUCUGCCCUUCCCCCUCCCUCUUCCCUCGCCCGGCAGUCAAGGCGCAAUCAAUGCCCAGCAGAAACUUUUUUUUUUUUUUUUGCAAUUUUCAGCCUUCCCCUUUCCUCGCCCUCCCCGCAAUCUGGUGCAAAGAAAUGACCCCGGUGUGAUCUAGUCUAGCUACCAGAUCGGCCAGAGGGGAAGGGGAAGGGUGGUCGGGGAGGAGUGGGGGAAAGGGAGAGGGAUGAAAAAAAAGGGGUCAUACAAACUGGGUAAAGGAGGAGGAUGGCGGGGAGUGGGAGAAAGGGAAAAAAAAAAAAAGGAAACGGCGCCGGAGGUGGUGGUGGGUUGGGAUGGGGGAGGAAGAAGAAGAAAAAGGGAAGGGAAUUUUUUAUUUUUUUUUUGUAAGUUUUGGGUAUUUUGAAGUGUGUAGGUUAAAAAUUUUGAUAAGUUUUUUGGGUUCCUGUAGCAAAAGUUGUUAAAAAACUAGUAGCAUACAAACUUGUGAAAAAUCUGAGCUUCCAAACAGGCCCUUUGUUUGCAAGUAGCAAGAUCUACAGAUUUUGUAUUUUAGACCUCAAAUGAAACAGAUUUUAUAUUUUAAAGACUAAUUUGGGACCAUAGUGUCUCAUUUUGAAAUUUAGGAAUCAAGGGGAAAGCAUUCAAGUAAUUUGUUCAUCAGAUGUACAUUUUCAUUGAAGACCUCAUUGAUGUAUGUUUCAAUUAACAAGUAAUCUCUGGAACUUCCAUCAGUGUCAAGCUAAUCCGCAUCUAACGACGCUUGAGAAUACGUCUUUGUGGGAAAUUGCACAGCAAAUCUAAAUAUUUGCGCACAAAAGCCUGAAAUUUUUAGCACUUAUUGUAUAACUAGAUUAAACCCUGUGCAUUUGCACAAUCCAUUAUCGUUGAUUGGAAGCGAUAUCCAAAAAAAUGAAAUAUGUCAUUCUUAUAUAUAUUCUUUCCACAUGUAUAACUUUUGCAUCUUUACCUUAUAGUGUUUGAUACCAAUCAUCACUCAAUCAAAAGGUGAAUAGUCAUGUAAGAUUCAGUGAAACUAAAAGUAAACAGCUUAAUGAGGAAAUAAAAAUAAAAAACUUAAAUCAGGAAGUUGCUUCAGUGUUUUGCUCUAAUCUAGUAAUGACAAUUGACAACCUAUUGUAGUAACAUGAAAUUUAUGACAUAAAAUCAUUUGGACUUAUUUGCUAAGAAUUUCGUGACCAAUCCCCUUGAUGUAGGAUAUAGGAAUAAACAAUAUUUGUUUGUAACUAUUUUACUUCUUCAUGCUAGCUUUGUGAUAACUAAAAGGCAAAAAUAAUUUAGCUAAAUCCAAAACAAAAGGCCAAAAUAAAUAGCCUCACCAUGAAAAUUUUGAAAAUGUUUUCUAAAAAUAUGAAUAUAUUAUAUAUGUAAGCAAAAUGAUUUUCAACCAUAUUAAAGUAUAUUUUUUUAUGUUAAAAGAGCUUUGUAUAAUUUCUCUAUACCACAUAAUUACUACAAACUCCUAACUUUAAAACACCUCCAAUGGAAUGAAAAAUUCCCUUUAAUCCCAAAUAUAAUUAUUUAAAACUAUAAUACUUGAAUAAGACUAGUUUUGGAUUUGGGGUUUGUGCACCAUGCAUCCAACCAUGUUGUAGACAAUGAACUUGUUUUUGCUAUUUUUUUUGGGUUGAGGAAGAGGGAUAAGUUGGGUAGUACAGGAAAAGGGAAUAUACGUCAAAGGUCCCGAAUUCGAAACUUCCCACCUACCGUAAAAAAUUAAAGAAAAAAAAAUUUGCCUUCUCAAACUCUAGAAAUUCUCUGAGCAUGAAAAGUCUAAAAUUGCAUAUGAACUACUUCCUUAGUACUCCUUCAAAGAUUAUGUAUUUUGGCCUGAAAACAAAAAAAAAAAGCACUUAUGAAAAAAUCAUAAUUAAUCUUGAAAUUGGCAUGAAAAUUAAAAAAAAAAAGGAAAAAAAACACUUAUGAAAAAAUCACAAUUAAUCUUGAAAAAGUGCUCAUGGGAAACCCCUAAUAAUUUGAUAAAACACACAACACCAAAGAAUUAAUAAAGUCAUAUGUGGUACGGGGGAGGGAGUGUAAGUAAGAGGUUUCGGGUUCGAAUCCUCCCGCUUACACUAAAAAAAAAAAAAGUCAUAUGUGGUAAAAAAAAAUACAAUUGCUAAGAAUUCAUAGUAAAAGUUGUGCAGAGAAUUAUAAAUGAAACUUUUUUUUCAGGUAAGUGGAAGGUCUCGAACCCGAAAUCUCUCGCUUAUACUCCCUCUCUCAUACCAUCGAUUCCUCAAAAUUUAAUUUGAAAAAAAUCUAAUAGGGUCCAUUAAAAAUGAACCAUCAAGAGUGAGAUAGACAUUUGUUAGAAAAAGCAUAUCGAGAAUUCAACAUGACAACACAUGUGAUAAGGAUAAUAAUAAAUUUUAAGUUAAAGAUAUUUGUGGAAACAUUAUCCAAAGGGAAAAAAAGAAUACAGACAAAGAAGAUUGAGAGAAAAAAAUAGCUAGUCAAAGAGCACGUAGACAUUGAGAAAGAAAGUGUGGAAAACUCACUGUGUCAAAUAGCUAUAUGAGAAAAAGGUAAAAAACAACGGAUAAGUAUUAGAGUACAACUCUAUUUUAUAUAUAUAUACUAGGGGGAAGUGCCCGCGCAUCGCGCGGGUGUUUAGUGCCUGUGGGGAAGGAGGUUUUUUUGUUGAACAAACAAUAGUACAUUGUGAGAAGAAAUAAAACUUAGUAUAAAAAGAUAAACAAUAUAAUCAAUCAAUUCACACAGCAUUACAAUAAAACUGUGUCAAAUUGAAGGUCGUUGAUA
Molecule: long non-coding RNA, 10954 nt
Filed under: Coffea arabica (coffee)
Lineage: Eukaryota; Viridiplantae; Streptophyta; Magnoliopsida; Gentianales; Rubiaceae
Description: long non-coding RNA (CARA_LNC007717)
Source: RNAcentral